Molecule: ribosomal RNA, 253 nt
Filed under: uncultured bacterium
Lineage: Bacteria
Description: partial 16S ribosomal RNA
Rfam family: Bacterial small subunit ribosomal RNA
Source: RNAcentral
UACGUAGGGUGCGAGCGUUAAUUGGAAUUACUGGGCGUAAAGCGUGCGCAGGCGGCUUUGCAAGACAGAUGUGAAAUCCCCGGGCUCAACCUGGGAACUGCAUUUGUGACUGCAAGGCUUGAGUACGGCAGAGGGGGAUGGAAUUCCGCGUGUAGCAGUGAAAUGCGUAGAUAUGCGGAGGAACACCGAUGGCGAAGGCAAUCCCCUGGGCCUGCACUGACGCUCAUGCACGAAAGCGUGGGGAGCAAACAGG